This 1520-nucleotide ribosomal RNA is filed under the name uncultured delta proteobacterium. RNAcentral's name for it is "bacterial SSU rRNA". It matches the Rfam family "Bacterial small subunit ribosomal RNA". The record is from RNAcentral. Lineage: Bacteria; Deltaproteobacteria.
AGAGUUUGAUCCUGGCUCAGAAUGAACGCUGGCGGCGUGCCUAACACAUGCAAGUCGAACGAGAAAGCCCGCUUCGGUGGGCGAUUAAAGUGGCGAACGGGUGAGUAACAUGUAGGUAAUCUGCCCUCAAGACUAGGAUAACAUUUCGAAAGGGGUGCUAAUACUGGAUAAGACCACAGCAGGAAACUGCAGUGGUAAAAGCUGGCUUAUGCAUAUAAGCUAACGCUUGAGGAUGAGCCUGCACACCAUUAGCUAGUUGGUAGGGUAAUGGCCUACCAAGGCUACGAUGGUUAGCUGGUCUAAGAGGAUGGUCAGCCACACUGGAACUGAGAUACGGUCCAGACUCCUACGGGAGGCAGCAGUGAGGAAUAUUGCGCAAUGGGGGAAACCCUGACGCAGCGACGCCGCGUGAGUGAAGAAGGCCCUCGGGUUGUAAAGCUCUGUCGGACAGAAAGAAAAGGCUAAGGUUAAUAGCCUUAGUUCUUGACGGUACUGUCAGAGGAAGCACCGGCUAACUCCGUGCCAGCAGCCGCGGUAAUACGGAGGGUGCAAGCGUUAUUCGGAAUUACUGGGCGUAGAGCGCGUGUAGGCGGUUGGGUAAGUCCAACGUGAAAGCCCUUAGCUCAACUAAGGAAGUGCGUCGGAAACUGUUCAACUAGAGUACGGGAGGGGGAAGUAGAAUUCCCGGUGUAGAGGUGAAAUUCGUAGAUAUCGGGAGGAAUACCAGUAGCGAAGGCGACUUCCUGGAACGAUACUGACGCUGAGACGCGAAAGCGUGGGGAGCAAACAGGAUUAGAUACCCUGGUAGUCCACGCCGUAAACGGUGGGCACUAAGUAUAGUGAGUUGAUCUCUGCUGUGCUGUAGCUAACGCAUUAAGUGCCCCGCCUGGGAAGUACAGUCGCAAGGCCGAAACUCAAAGGAAUUGACGGGGGCCCGCACAAGCGGUGGAGCAUGUGGUUCAAUUCGAUGCAACGCGAAAAACCUUACCUGGGCUUGACAUGUCAAGAACCCGAUGGAAACAUUGGGGUGUCCCGCAAGGGAAGCUUGAACACAGGUGCUGCAUGGCUGUCGUCAGCUCGUGUCGUGAGAUGUUGGGUUAAGUCCCGCAACGAGCGCAACCCUUACCUUUAGUUGCCAGCAAGUAGUGUUGGGCACUCUAAAGGAACUGCCAGUUUAAAACUGGAGGAAGGUGGGGAUGACGUCAAGUCCUCAUGGCCCUUACGUCCAGGGCUACACACGUGCUACAAUGGCUAGUACAAAGGGAAGCGAACUUGUGAGAGUAAGCAAAUCCCAGAAAGCUAGUCUCAGUCCGGAUUGGAGUCUGCAACUCGACUCCAUGAAGUUGGAAUCGCCAGUAAUCGCGGAUCAGCAUGCCGCGGUGAAUACGUUCUCGGGCCUUGUACACACCGCCCGUCACACCACGAAAGUUGCUUAUACCCGAAGUCGCGGGGCUAACCUAGUAAUAGGAGGCAGGCGCCUAAGGUAUGGGUAGUAAUUGGGGUGAAGUCGUAACAAGGUA